RNAcentral lists this ribosomal RNA (792 nucleotides) under uncultured Lactobacillus sp. Its description in RNAcentral is "bacterial SSU rRNA". It matches the Rfam family "Bacterial small subunit ribosomal RNA", at positions 28 to 776 of the family's 1533-position model. Lineage: Bacteria; Bacillati; Bacillota; Bacilli; Lactobacillales; Lactobacillaceae. The record is from RNAcentral.
GAUGAACGCCGGCGGUGUGCCUAAUACAUGCAAGUCGAACGCGUUGGCCCAAUUGAUUGACGGUGCUUGCACCUGAUCGAUUUUGGUCGCCAACGAGUGGCGGACGGGUGAGUAACACGUAGGUAACCUGCCCAGAAGCGGGGGACAACAUUUGGAAACAGAUGCUAAUACCGCAUAACAGCGUUGUUCGCAUGAACAACGCUUAAAAGAUGGCUUCUCGCUAUCACUUCUGGAUGGACCUGCGGUGCAUUAGCUUGUUGGUGGGGUAACGGCCUACCAAGGCGAUGAUGCAUAGCCGAGUUGAGAGACUGAUCGGCCACAAUGGGACUGAGACACGGCCCAUACUCCUACGGGAGGCAGCAGUAGGGAAUCUUCCACAAUGGGCGCAAGCCUGAUGGAGCAACACCGCGUGAGUGAAGAAGGGUUUCGGCUCGUAAAGCUCUGUUGUUAAAGAAGAACACGUAUGAGAGUAACUGUUCAUACGUUGACGGUAUUUAACCAGAAAGUCACGGCUAACUACGUGCCAGCAGCCGCGGUAAUACGUAGGUGGCAAGCGUUAUCCGGAUUUAUUGGGCGUAAAGAGAGUGCAGGCGGUUUUCUAAGUCUGAUGUGAAAGCCUUCGGCUUAACCGGAGAAGUGCAUCGGAAACUGGAUAACUUGAGUGCAGAAGAGGGUAGUGGAACUCCAUGUGUAGCGGUGGAAUGCGUAGAUAUAUGGAAGAACACCAGUGGCGAAGGCGGCUACCUGGUCUGCAACUGACGCUGAGACUCGAAAGCAUGGGUAGCGAACAGG